This is a small nuclear RNA of Suncus etruscus (white-toothed pygmy shrew), 107 nucleotides long. The record is from RefSeq and is a predicted model, not a curated record. NCBI's taxonomy places the organism in Eukaryota, Metazoa, Chordata, Mammalia, Eulipotyphla, Soricidae.
GUACUUACUUCAGCAGCACAUAGACUAAAAUUGGGUUGAUACAGAGAAUAUUAGUAUGACCCCUGAUCAAAGAUGACAUGCAAAUUGAUGAAACAUUCCAUUUUUUU